Molecule: unclassified non-coding RNA, 402 nt
Filed under: Hevea brasiliensis (rubber tree)
Lineage: Eukaryota; Viridiplantae; Streptophyta; Magnoliopsida; Malpighiales; Euphorbiaceae
Source: RNAcentral
GGCCGAGCAGUCCGCCGGCGUGCUCAAGGCGCUGGGCGAGGCCGCGAAGCCGGCCCUGCCUGCGCUGAAGAGCGCCGGCGAGCAGGCGCUGAAGCUCGCCUCGCCGGUGGUCUCCGGCGCCUCCAAGCAAGCCACGGAGGCGCUCCAGGGCGCCGGCGUCGACCCCGCCCCCGUUCUGUCCGCCGCUAAGACCGUCGCGGACGCGGCGCAGCAGGGCACGAAGGUCAUCGACGCCGCGAAGCCCAUCGCGUCGGCGACGGUGGAGACCAUCGGGUCGCUGGGCUCCGCGGACUACGUCGUGGUCGCCGGAGCGGCGUUCCUCGCGUACCUGCUCCUGCCGCCGGCAUGGUCCCUGCUUUCUUUCACUCUCCGCGGCUACAAAGGUGACCUGACCGCUGCACA